RNAcentral lists this ribosomal RNA (375 nucleotides) under Triticum aestivum (bread wheat). RNAcentral describes it as "partial small subunit ribosomal RNA". Lineage: Eukaryota; Viridiplantae; Streptophyta; Magnoliopsida; Poales; Poaceae. The record is from RNAcentral.
AUGGUAGCAAUGCCAAGGACUGCCAUCGUCCUCUCCACCAUCAUCUUCUUCCUUUUUUCCGCUCAUGCUAGUGGCUCUGACACUGGCAAGCCCAAGGCGACCAAGCUCAUGGUGGAAGCAUGCAAGAAGGCCUCGAUCAAUAACCCCUACAACGAAUCUGUCACGCAAGAAUUCUGUUUGUCCACCCUUCAGUCGGACAAUCGAAGUGCCGAGGCUAAGGACCUCCGUGACUUAGUGCUUGUCACUGUCGACAUCUUUAAAGCCGUGUCACUGCCGCUAGUGGUAAGAUCAAGCAAAAGCUGCAAGAUGCCAAGAAGGGAACAGUGGCAAUGCACGUUCUCAGUUAUUGUGAGGUGGAGUAUGAAGAUGUGGUGA